RNAcentral lists this non-coding RNA (28 nucleotides) under Cricetulus griseus (Chinese hamster). Lineage: Eukaryota; Metazoa; Chordata; Mammalia; Rodentia; Cricetidae. The record is from RNAcentral.
AGGCUGUAGAGAAGGGCUUGUGACUUUA